UUUUUUUUAACAACAGAAGGCGCAGAAAGCGUCAAACUUUUCAUUCAGCUCAGUAACAACAUACAACAUGUAUUAUUACAAAGCCUUGGAUCUGAAAAUUGGAGAGCAAAGAAACUACAGGGCAAGAAGAUUUUCUAUGAGCUGAAAGCAACAUAUUUUAGGUUUGACAAUUGAGCAAAGAACUUGUUGAGCUACAUUGUGUGCAAUUCCAUUAAUCUCCCCUGAGAUGUUUCACACCUGAGGUUGGAGGUUGGAAGAGUACUUGAAGAAAUCACCCAAAGAUUUCCUGAUGCUCCACGGGGUGGUAGCCUCAAUCAUCUUUCCGGUUGCUGCAACCAAAGCUAAGGAAAGGCAGUCUAAAAGAAAGGUGGGCCGAACAAUGUGUAAUCUGCUUGCAACCUGAGCAGCAAAAGAAAGAGUAAGACCCUCUGCCUGCAAAGGAGUGCUUGUAACUUGAGUUGAUGCUUGAAUUUACACACCGACUUCAACCUGUUCUUGAGGCAGAGAAAGAUAGACUCCAACUCGUGUUGCUAUUGAUCCGUGUCCUAUGGGAGGUUUGGACGCACCGCAACGCCGUGGUUUUCAACGGAGCGGCGCCAUCUACACAGACGGUGCUACAGAAUAUAGGAAACGAGGCCCGGGNNNNNNNNNNGCGCGGAGGAAGGUCGGAGCUGGAGCGCAGAGGAGCCAAACGCGGCAAUGAAUGGCCGGAACGGGGAGCGGCGAGCAGCCAAACCAUCAGCGGCCGGAGCGAUGAGGAGAGCCGGAGAGGACGCCGGAGCAGGGCAAGGGGAGGUCGCCGGAGAAGAGCGCCACGACGAGCGGGCCGUUCCCAGGUCAGACCGACCCGCCAACCCCAGGAGCGGCGCCGGCGGCCACCCAACCUCCGCAAGGCAGCGCCUUGGGCCCGAGGCGGACGAGCUCUCGUCGGCCGGUUCUGCGGCCGCCGUCGCGAGCCGGAGGCAGAACCUCCACUACGGGAGGCUGAGCCAGCGGCCGCGCUGGUCGGCGCCGCGAGAACAGGGGCACGGGGAGGGAGAGGGAUGCCGGGGCGGUCGGCGACCGGGGAAGCUUCGUCGUCCUCUGCGAGGUCCGCCUAUAGGAACCUUGGCUGCACCGCAGGGCAAGGCGGGGGAGCGCAACGCGGGCGAGCCCCGGCCGGCUCCCCCGCGUCGCCAGAGCUCACGGUCGCCAUCUCUUUCCUUUACUCGCGUGAAUAUAUUCAUGAAUAGGAACUGCGAUCUCACAAUAAUAUUGUGGACUGUACUCUGGGUCAAGAAAGAAGAGACUAAACUUAGCUAGAAGAGACUAAACUCUGAACGCCUGAAUAAGAACUGCCGUGUGUUCACUUUGCUUCUCCCUCGUGAUGUCUAAUUGGACUGCAAAAAUGAAUUGAUGGUGAUAUUUAUUGCAGGUGAAAGCACAAGAGUAUCCCCACAUUCUCGUCACGGCCGGCUUAAACGGUAGGCGUUCGUCCCUUUGAUUACUUGUGAGCUUCUUCCGAGUAUGUAUGGUUUUGCAUCACAGCUCAUUUCCUCUGUAACAACAACCAGAUCCUUGCGUGAUGUACUCCGAACCUGCCAAGUUUGUGGCUAAGCUGAGGGAAUUGAAAAGGGAUGACAACCUUCUGCUAUUCAAGUGUGAAGUAGGUGCCGGACACAACUCAAAGUCUGGAAGGUAUAUAUAGUAAAGGAUAUGAAUCCUUCUCCAUCUGUGUUGUUUUUUGUUUUUUGACGUGUCAAAUAGAGUACCUUUGUAUCAAAAUAUAAGACGUUUUUGCAGUUCAGUUUAUGGUACGGAGGGUGUAAAGAGAAUGAACAAGAUCAAUGAACAAGAUCAUAUUUUUCCUUUUGGCCUAACUGUUGGUUACUUGCAGGUUCGAGAAAUUGCGGGAGGACGCCUUUUCUUACACGUUUCUCCUCAAGGCACUGGGCAUGACAAAUACGGCUUGAUUGUGCCGGGCUAUCCGGCGUAUGAGGUCUAGUUAUAGUCAGUUCAUUUCGGGAUGUAAAACUUGACUUAACUCCACUGAUUACUUUUGCCUGGCAGUGGCAGUCUCGUAUUCAGGCUGACUCCUAUGAUUUGUUACGGGCCAUUUGAGUUCUGACGAGCAGUCCAUUUUUAGUACUCCCUCCGAUCCAUAUUAUUUGUCGUUAAAAUUAAUGUAUCUAGUAAAUACGUCUAGAUACAUUCAUUUCAGCGACAAGUAAUAUGAAUUGGAGGAAUAGCUUGAAAAGCAGCCCCACAUGAACUCACGGCCACUGUGUGCCACUGUCCUACUCCUUUCGUUUCAUAUUGUAGUGAUGAUGGACUUUUUGAAAAGUCAAACUUUAUAAACUAUGACCAAAUUUUGUUCUUUUAGAGAAUAAACCGUGACCUAGUUUGUAGAGAGAGACCAAAACAUCAAUAAUGCUUGGUAGAUUAACAGAAGAUUUACGUGACCCGUGGAUGUAGCAUUGCUCUCAGAACAUUGUGCCGGAUUAUCUUCUCGAGGAGCUCUCUGUCNNNNNNNNNNUUUCUAUGAGCUGAAAGCAACAUAUUUUAGGUUUGACAAUUGAGCAAAGAACUUGUUGAGCUACAUUGUGUGCAAUUCCAUUAAUCUCCCCUGAGAUGUUUCACACCUGAGGUUGGAGGUUGGAAGAGUACUUGAAGAAAUCACCCAAAGAUUUCCUGAUGCUCCACGGGGUGGUAGCCUCAAUCAUCUUUCCGGUUGCUGCAACCAAAGCUAAGGAAAGGCAGUCUAAAAGAAAGGUGGGCCGAACAAUGUGUAAUCUGCUUGCAACCUGAGCAGCAAAAGAAAGAGUAAGACCCUCUGCCUGCAAAGGAGUGCUUGUAACUUGAGUUGAUGCUUGAAUUUACACACCGACUUCAACCUGUUCUUGAGGCAGAGAAAGAUAGACUCCAACUCGUGUUGCUAUUGAUCCGUGUCCUAUGGGAGGUUUGGACGCACCGCAACGCCGUGGUUUUCAACGGAGCGGCGCCAUCUACACAGACGGUGCUACAGAAUAUAGGAAACGAGGCCCGGGUAUGGAAGCAGGCAGGACUACUGCAAGGGGAAGUCGAGGAGUUCUUCGUUGGCCCUGCAUCGUGGGAGAGUAGUGAGUAGUCAACCAUAGCAUGUUAGUGAGGCGGUGUUGGCCUUCGAGCCACUUGUACAUAACCCUGUAACAUCAAAAGUGGAGGGAGUCUUCCCUAUUCCCUUUUAAUAUAUGAUACACACACUCGUGCGUAUUCGAGAAAAAAAAGCAGCGCAAGAAUACACUUCAGGUCCCUGAAUGAGUAGAUCAGAUUUAAGUGUUCG
This 3301-nucleotide long non-coding RNA is filed under the name Triticum aestivum (bread wheat). RNAcentral's name for it is "long non-coding RNA (TAES_LNC012128)". Lineage: Eukaryota; Viridiplantae; Streptophyta; Magnoliopsida; Poales; Poaceae. The record is from RNAcentral.